GAUGCAUGUGGUCUUGUAAGUCGGGCGUGAAAUCCCAGGGCUUAACCCUGGAAGUGCACUCGAUACUGCGAGACUUGAAUGCCGGAGAGGUCGCUAGAAUUCCUGGUGUAGUGGUGAAAUACGUAGAUAUCAGGAGGAACAUCGGAGGCGAAGGCGGGUGACCAGCCGGACAUUGACACUGAGAUCCGAAAGUGUGGGGAUCAAACA
RNAcentral lists this ribosomal RNA (207 nucleotides) under uncultured bacterium. RNAcentral's name for it is "partial 16S ribosomal RNA". It matches the Rfam family "Bacterial small subunit ribosomal RNA", at positions 568 to 774 of the family's 1533-position model. The record is from RNAcentral.